Non-coding RNA from Zootermopsis nevadensis, 377 nucleotides. The record is from RefSeq and is a predicted model, not a curated record. NCBI's taxonomy places the organism in Eukaryota, Metazoa, Arthropoda, Insecta, Blattodea, Termopsidae.
UACAGCGGCCGCGUCUCAGAAGUUGAAUUGUACUGUGGGAUGUCGGACUUUCGUGCCUUUCUAAUCUAGCAUCGGAAGUUAUCAAAUAGGCUGUGCAUUAUGCCAUCUUGGGUUAUGUGGAUAUUACACGAUCAUACCUUGAUGAAAACGGAAUUCAUGGGGUGUAUUUGAAGUAUGUCUGUCAAACGUCCAUAUUUUACAAAUUUUAAUUCGUGCAUGUGAUGGUCAGUGUGAAGAGUAUUAUAAGUGGAAAUAAUUGUAAACACUACAUGAAGCUACUGCGUGCAAGUGUCCCGCUACAUGCCUAUGCAGAAACCUGGGGGAAGUGGAGGUCUAGCUCCUCUCUUCCUUGACCUGGGCACUAGAUGGAGGUGAGU